UUCCGGCGUUGACUCCAAUUGAACCGCAGGCUUCACCCCUUGUGGUGCUCCCCCGCCAAUUCCUUUAAGUUUCAUACUUGCGUACGUACUUCCCAGGCGGCAAACUUAACGGCUUCCCUGCAGCACUGCAUUGGCCACAAGCCAAUGCAUCACUGAGUUUGCAUAGUUUACAGCUGGGACUACCCGGGUAUCUAAUCCGGUUUGCUCCCCCAGCUUUCAUCCCUCACCGUAGAACGUGUUCUGGUAGACCGCCUUCGCCACAGGUGGUCAUCAAUAGAUCAAAGGAUUUUACCCCUUCCUACCGAGUACCGUCUACCUCUCCCACUUCCUAGUUAUGCAGUAUUCCCGGCAGCCCAUACGUUAAGCGCAUGGAUUUAACCGAAAACUUACAAAACGAGCUACGGAUGCUUUAGGCCCAAUAAUCAUCCUGACCACUUGAGGUGCUGGUUUUACCGCGGCGGCUGACACCAGAACUUGCCCACCCCUUAUUCGUUAGUGUUUCUAGGACUGACAAAAGGUUUCUUUAGCAGAAACCACUCGGAUUAACCUUGUCGUGCUUUCGCACAUUGCAAAGUUUUCUCGCCUGCUGCGCCCCAUAGGGCCUGGGUCCGUGUCUCAGUACCCAUCUCCGGGCUACUCCUCUCAGAGCCCGUACCUGUAAUAGUCUUGGUGGGCCAUUACCUCACCAACAAACUGAUAGGCCGCAGUCCCAUCCUAUGGCGAUAAAUCAUUUGAAACAUAAACCAUUCCAGGCAUAAUGUUCUAUCGGGCAUUAUUCUCAGUUUCCCGAGGUUAUUCCCGUCCAUAGGGUAGAUUGACUACGCGUUACUGAGCCGUCUGCCUUGUAUUGCUACAAUGACUCGCAUGGCUUAGUAUCANUCCGAUAGCAGUCAGGUCCGGCAGGAUCACCGGAA
RNAcentral lists this ribosomal RNA (914 nucleotides) under uncultured archaeon. RNAcentral's name for it is "16S ribosomal RNA". The record is from RNAcentral.